Long non-coding RNA from Rhineura floridana, 425 nucleotides. RefSeq lists it as uncharacterized. NCBI's taxonomy places the organism in Eukaryota, Metazoa, Chordata, Lepidosauria, Squamata, Rhineuridae. The record is from RefSeq and is a predicted model, not a curated record. The transcript has 3 exons.
UCAGGCUUCUUUUAACAUGUGCCAGGGUAGGAGUGGUCAGGGGCCUGCCAUUGAGCUGUGUAGAGGACAGAGCUUAAACUGGCAUUAUAGUCAGCAGUGGACCUGGAAUUGUUGAAUCCUGAGUUCCUGGGCCUUGUGCGGACAACAGCAGGGUGAUCGCUUUUCAAGAAUUCUUCAUUAACCUGUUGGUACUUCUGCUCUCAUGCAAGGUUCUGAGCAGUCCUGUAGGAGGAUUCACUGGCUAUGAGAUGUGAGUAGGAGGCAAUCAAGUGAAGAGACUAUUGUGAACAGCUCUCUGUGGUUGCAGGUCAAGGGUAUAAUGCUUAAUGGAAAUACUGCAGUGAUUACAUUGCUAUUUUGCAGAUACAACCAUAGACUUUGCAGAGUAUGCAAAUAGCUGAACAGGGCACUAUUUAUUAUUGGGG